This 1510-nucleotide ribosomal RNA is filed under the name metagenome. Its description in RNAcentral is "bacterial SSU rRNA". It matches the Rfam family "Bacterial small subunit ribosomal RNA". The record is from RNAcentral.
GUUUGAUUCUGGCUCAGAACGAACGCUGGCGGCGUGGAUAAGACAUGCAAGUCGAACGCUGAUACACAGGUAGCAAUAUUUUUGUGUCGGAGUGGCGAAUGGGUGCGUAACACGUGGGUAAUUUACCCUAAGGAUCGGAAUAACUCGUCGAAAGGCGAGCUAAUGCCGGAUGUGACUUGAGGAAGACAUCUUCCUUGAUUUAAAGCUGGGGACCCUUCGGGGCCUGGCGCUUUAGGAUAAGCCCGCGGCCUAUCAGCUUGUUGGUGAGGUAAAGGCUCACCAAGGCUAAGACGGGUAGCUGGUCUGAGAGGACGAUCAGCCACACUGGAACUGAGAUACGGUCCAGACACCUACGGGUGGCAGCAGUCGAGAAUCUUUCACAAUGGGCGAAAGCCUGAUGGAGCGACGCCGCGUGGGGGAUGAAGGUCCUAGGGUCGUAAACCCCUGUCAUCUGUGAGCAAGGCUCGAGUCUUAAUACGAUUCGAGUUGAUAGUAGCAGAAGAGGAAGGGACGGCUAACUCUGUGCCAGCAGCCGCGGUAAUACAGAGGUCCCAAGCGUUGUUCGGAUUCACUGGGCGUAAAGGGUGUGUAGGCGGUAGGAAAAGUUUGGUGUGAAAUCUCCGGGCUCAACCCGGAAACUGCACUGAAUACUCUCUUACUAGAGGAUCGGAGGGGAGACUGGAAUUCUCGGUGUAGCAGUGAAAUGCGUAGAUAUCGAGAGGAACACCAAUAGCGAAGGCAAGUCUCUGGACGAUUCCUGACGCUGAGGCACGAAAGCUAGGGGAGCAAACAGGAUUAGAUACCCUGGUAGUCCUAGCCGUAAACGGUGCACAUUUGCUGUGGGCGGAUUCGACCCCGUCCGUGGCGUAGCUAACGCGAUAAAUGUGCCGCCUGGGGAGUACGGCCGCAAGGUUAAAACUCAAAGAAAUUGACGGGGGCCUGCACAAGCGGUGGAGUAUGUGGCUUAAUUCGAUCAACGCGAAGAACCUUACCUGGCUUUGACAUGCAAGUGGUAGGAACCUGAAAGGGUGACGACCUCGCAAGAGGAGCUUGCACAGGUGCUGCAUGGCUGUCGUUAGCUCGUGUCGUGAGAUGUUGGGUUAAGUCCCGCAACGAGCGCAACCCUUGUGUCCUGUUGCCACUCCGGUUUCGAUCGGAAGCACUCUGGACAGACUGCCUCGCUUAAACGAGGAGGAAGGUGGGGAUGACGUCAAGUCAGUAUGGCCCUUACGGCCAGGGCUGCACACGUACUACAAUGCCCGGCACAGAGGGAAGCAAGACCGCAAGGUGGAGCCAAUCCCUAAAAACCGGGCCCAGUUCGGAUUGUCGGCUGCAAUUCGCCGGCAUGAAGUUGGAAUCGCUAGUAAUGGCGCAUCAGCUACGGCGCCGUGAAUACGUUCCCAGGCCUUGUACACACCGCCCGUCACAUCAUGAAAGCCGGUUGUACCCGAAGUCACUGAGCUAACCCGCAAGGGAGGCAGGUGCCUAAGGUGUGGCUGGUGAUUGGGAU